This 2152-nucleotide ribosomal RNA is filed under the name Paguristes triangulatus. Its description in RNAcentral is "eukaryotic LSU rRNA". It matches the Rfam family "Eukaryotic large subunit ribosomal RNA", at positions 89 to 1588 of the family's 3401-position model. The record is from RNAcentral. Lineage: Eukaryota; Metazoa; Arthropoda; Malacostraca; Decapoda; Diogenidae.
GCGACUGAAACGGGAUCAGCCCAGCGCAUAAUCUCGCUUCCCUUUCCAGUAAAGGGCGGCCGAGAGGUGUUGCGUUUCGGAAGGUCGUAUCAUCCGCUGCCCCAACUGCCUAAGUUCCACUUGAAUGUGACCAAUGACCAUGGAGGGUGCCAGUCCCGUAUGGCGGAAUUGCAGUCCCCGACAGGGGGCACAGGGGCGGCGGCGUGGGCCUAUCCGCAGAGUCGGGUUGCUUGAUAAUGCAGCCCUAAGAAGGUGGUAAACUCCAUCUAAGGCUAAAUAUUCCCACGAGUCCGAUAGCGAACAAGUACCAUGAGGGAAAGUUGAAAAGGACUUUGAAGAGAGAGUUCAAGAGUACGUGAAACCGUUAAGAGGUAAACGGAUGGUCCCUGUAGGCCGAACAGAGGGGAUUCAGCAGGUCGGCAGUCCGGUGGGAUGCGGGGUCUGAGAAUAAUUGAAUACCUUAAGUGACUCGUCGGGCUUCUCGGGGUAAAACCCGGAAGUUGCGGCGGGCACGCCCCGCUCUCAAUCUCGGGCGCCGGCACAGGCGUAUUUCCGCCUCCUAGUAGCUCACCGCGACUCGUUGCUCGGGGAUGUCCAUGGCCCGGUUGGAUUGGUACCCCUCGGGGGAAACCUCCGGUGAAUUUCCUGACAGCCCUGCGACGGUCAAAAAGUGGCAGAGAAGCUCGGCGUACACGAGAAGGGGCGGUCUGGCGCGGGUCUGGUGAGGAAGCUCGUCGGGCCCCCGUCGCCGGACGGACCCCGUAAGUCGUCUCGCAGCAUGCUCUUGCGGUGUUACAUGAACAGAGGACCAACCGACCCGUCUUGAAACACGGACCAAGGAGUCUAACAUGUGUGCGAGUCAUUGGGUGCACUAAACCCAGAGGCACAAUGAAAGUGAUUCAAAAUCCUACCUUGUUAUAUUUUAUAUAACAUGUGAUGGGCCGAUCCCUAGGCCGACUGCCCGCUCGCGUGUGCGGCUUUCAGCUCUUCCCGGGGCUUGGGUGAGACCCUUUCCUCAGGGCCCGGGGCCCAAAGGGCUGAUUGUCUUCCGCCACCUUGCGCUCGGCAUAGGCCCGCGCCUGCAAGACGACAGGGGGGCGCAGGCCCGGGACUUUUCCAACCGUGCUCGGCGUGGCUCCGGUAAAAAAAGCGGGCGAAAAUGGCUCUCUCUCGGGAGAGCCUUGAGUAGUCGCAGCCUGACCGACGGUCGCGACCGCAGCCUCGGGAAAGUACCCUGAGCAUACAUGCUAGUACCCGAAAGAUGGUGAACUAUGCCCGGCCAGGAUGAAGCCAGAGGAAACUCUGGUGGAGGUCCGCCGCGAUUCUGACGUGCAAAUCGAUCGUCGGAGCUGGGCAUAGGGGCGAAAGACUAAUCGAACUAUCUAGUAGCUGGUUCCCUCCGAAGUUUCCCUCAGGAUAGCUGGCACUCGGGAAACGGAGUUUCAUCCUGUAAAGCUAAUGAUUAGAGGUCUUGGGGACGAAACGUCCUCAACCUAUUCUCAAACUUUAAAUGGGUGAGAUGCCGAGCUUUCUUGAGAACGGCGGCAGCAGGCAGAAAGUCUGUCGUCCGCUUCUGAAGCUCAGGCGAUCAAUCUGAAGUGCCAAGUGGGCCAAUUUUGGUAAGCAGAACUGGCGCUGUGGGGUGAUCCAAACGUCGAGUUAAGGUGCCUAAAUGAAUGCUAUCAGAUCCCAACAAAAGGUGUUGGUUGCUACAGACAGCAGGACGGUGGCCAUGGAAGUCGGCAUCCGCUAAGGAGUGUGUAACAACUCACCUGCCGAAGCAACUAGCCCUUAAAAUGGUAUGGCGCUCAAGCAUUCUACCGAUACUCRACCGCUUGUGGUACAACCGGCCUUGCCACAGGCCUUGAAGCCCAAGCGAGUAGGAGGGCGCGGUGGUGAGCGCAGAARGGUACGGCGUGAGCCUGCCUGGAGCCGCCACUGGUGCAGAUCUUGGUGGUAGUAGCAAACAGUCGAGAAAGUUGUUUCUUAACCUCGUCGGCCGAAUGUGGGGAAGGGUUCCAUGUGAACAUCACUUGAACAUGGGUUAGUCGCCCCUAAGCCCAAGGCUAGCGCCUUAUCCAAACGUCCUUCGGUCAAAAUACACGUAUAAAAUAAAUUCAGCCCAAAGGAUGGUCAUAAGACGAUUUUAUAU